AUGGACUGUUCAGGCAAGGUCCAUCAUUUUCUGUGGCGGUUUGGGCACAACAGUCACCCUCUGCACAUGAAUAUUGAACUUAGGGGAGUCGAACUGGACAGAAGAUGCGCGGCAUGCGACCGCUUCUUUGAGGAUGAUGGUCGCUUCUUCUUCAUAUGCAAAUUAGUUAAGGCUCUAUGGUGGGAGACAGGUCUUGAAGGCGAGCGCCAAGCUAAUGGGGGCAUUCGCCCCUUCAAGUGUUGGACCCAACAGAAGCGUUUGGUGCACUGGGCUUCAACCGGGUCAGCCCCGAAUAUCCCGUCUGAUCCUCCCCGAUCCACGGGGCUUUCCAGCAUCGAGGGGUACCUCGCGUCUCACACGCCUCAUGCGGGAGGGAGAAGAGACGCGGCCGCGGUCACAAGAGACGGCGAGAACCGCGCGCAGCCGCCGUCGUCGCUGCUAACGCCGUCGGACGCCUGCUUCCUCUUCUUCCUAGGGAAAGCUGGCCUUCUCCCCCGAGGUACACCACCCCCUCCCCCUCCCUCAUCUUCGUCUAGGGUUUCCGCCGCCAGUCCUCCGUUCGCCUCGUCCUCCCCGGCGAGCUCGCCAAGCACAUCGUCACUGAGAGCCACCACCGGCUCCUCUCCCUUUUCCAGCACCACCGCUGUGAGAGGCCCUUCCUGUUGUUCAUCUGCCUGCUUCCCCAUCACAUUCCUCCUCCCCCUGUUUGAAGUUAGUUGA
Molecule: ribosomal RNA, 720 nt
Filed under: Triticum aestivum (bread wheat)
Lineage: Eukaryota; Viridiplantae; Streptophyta; Magnoliopsida; Poales; Poaceae
Description: partial small subunit ribosomal RNA
Source: RNAcentral